UUUACUCCUUUACUGUCUGUAAGCCAGACCAAGGUGGGUCUAAUUCACUUCUAUCAUCAGCACUUAAGAAACUGAAUGGAAGACCACAACACCUUGUUUUUUGCAAAAAUUUUCCGUCUCUUCAAUCAGGCCAGGGAGCACAUAUCUUCUGGACAGGACUUUAUCGCUCUACUUAGCUUAGUAUACUGCCUUAUACUAGUCCAUUUGUCCCAUGUUUUCAUCAUUGAAUAAACUUAAGUGACUUUUGGUCUGGAUCUCACACCUAUUACUUCAUUUCCUUCUGUGAGCACUCUAUAAUGAUGACAUCAUUUUUUUUAUAUCCUAGGGCAUGUAGUUCCGAGCCCCACAGAAAGUAAUCACCAUUCAGUAAGCCAAUAGUUCAUUCCUAUCUGUAUAGAACUAUAGGCUUUGUAAAUCUACACAAAGGUCUCUGUUGUAGGUUCAAUAUGAUAAUAAAUGUUUGUGCCCCCAGUUGUUAUCUCUAAGGAUAUAAGUAAUCAAUGAUCAUUCAGCAGAUACUGCUUAUAUAUGGGUGGCAGUUUAGAAAUUAUAAAUUGAUUUUACACAUAUUUUCUUCUGCUACCCAGGACACAAUAAAGAUGGUUUAUCUUUGCAUCCCCAAUGCCUAGCAAUGAGAUUGGCACACAAUAGAUAACUACUAUAGUGGCAUUCUUCAGACACCCAAUCCCUUGCAUAUGCGUAUUCAAAAGUUAAUCAUUGUUACUCAAAUUUUCCUACUUUAUUUGCACAAUAUAAUAACUAUCAUACAAUUGUAUAAACCUAGUGCUCAGCACCAAGUAAGAAAAUCAACAGUUACAUUUAUAUGGUGCCUUAGAGUUCACAAAAUGCUAACAUAGGUAUUGCCUUAUUUUUGGCUGUGGGUAAAUGAAAUAUGAUAAAUUUUCAGUGCCUUUAACAAUGAGUUCACAUAGUAGGCAAUCAAAAUUGAUCCAUUUAACAGGUAUUUAAACCCUUGGUUUGUAUAACUACGUAUAGAACCCUUCUCAUUGUGGUUUAAGUAUACAAUGAGAAUUUUGUAGAGACAGUACCUAUCUUACAGAAAGUUUUAUUCAUAUAGAAAGCAUCGAAUUUUUCACAUUUACAAGUGCUUUAUAAUUUAGAAAGCACAUUCGCAAACUUAAUUAAGUGACUUUUGGUCUGGACCUCACUUCUAUUACUUCAUUUCCUAUACUAUCUCCUUCCCGGUUACCCGGGAAAAUGUACCGGUAGUAAUUUAACUUAACCUCACCAGUAAAGUCUUGAUUGUUUAAAAUUAAGCAAUAUCUCAUUCCUUACAUCUGAAUAGUCUAGAGAAUAAACUUUCCUCUUAUUAUAGGAGAAUUAAUCUUGUAUUUCACAGUACCCAAAACAAUAGCUGAUAUGUGAGAGGCAGUUAAUUUCAUUCAUUGAUUCAUUCAUUCAUAAAUAUGUAGCCCAUUGACAUCUGUAUUGUGCUUUAGUUUACAAAGCACUUUAAUAUGCACCUUUCUGAAAUUUUUUGUUCUAUGAGAGUAUUUUUUUCCCCUUUGGUAGCUCCAGUGCCCAGCAUGGUAUCUGGCACAUUAUAGGUGACCACAAUAAGUUGAGUCCCUUAUGUAUUCAGUAUACUUUAAAGUUUAAAAGCAGUUUCCAUGUGUUUUCGUUUCUGAUACCUGGAAUACUGCAUUUUUACUCAAAAUUACCAGAGCAGCAAACACAAAUUGGCCUCAAAUACACAUAUAAUUUAUUCAUUUAUCAAACAAUUCUUUGUGUCUGCAUAGUACUAUAUCCUUUUGAAAGAGCACUUUUUUAUGCUUGCUCCUUUCUUUGUAUCCACAAUGUUUAUCACAGUAGAAUACAAGUGCUUUAUAGUUUACAAAGCACAUUCACUAUUUUUCUUCAGGUCACCUACAUGUGAAUCAUCGUUGCAUUUUGAGUGCCUAGCACAGGGACAGGCACAAAAAAGGAAAUUAGUAGUAUUCAGACAUUUUCUCUGAAUAACGAAUAAUACAUCAGGGGGUGGUAAGCUAUGAACAGUAGGCCAAAUCCAAUUGGCUCAAAAACUAAGAAUGAUUUUGACCUUAUAAAAAGGUUGUUUAAAAAA
Mandrillus leucophaeus (drill) is the source of this 2083-nucleotide long non-coding RNA. RefSeq lists it as uncharacterized. Lineage: Eukaryota; Metazoa; Chordata; Mammalia; Primates; Cercopithecidae. The record is from RefSeq and is a predicted model, not a curated record. The transcript has 2 exons.